RNAcentral lists this ribosomal RNA (306 nucleotides) under uncultured bacterium. RNAcentral describes it as "partial 16S ribosomal RNA". It matches the Rfam family "Bacterial small subunit ribosomal RNA", at positions 507 to 807 of the family's 1533-position model. The record is from RNAcentral.
GACAGCAGUAGCCGCGGGAAUACGAAGGGGGCUAGCGUUGCUCAGAAUGACUGGGCGUAAAGGGCGCGUAGGCGGUUGUCACAGUCGGGUGUGAAAUUCCUGGGCUUAACCUGGGGACUGCAUUCGAGACGUGGUGGCUUGAGUGGGGAAGAGGGUCGUGGAAUUCCCAGUGUAGAGGUGAAAUUCGUAGAUAUUGGGAAGAACACCGGUGGCGAAGGCGGCGACCUGGUCCUUUACUGACGCUGAGGCGCGAAAGCGUGGGGAGCAAACAGGAUUAGAUACCCGCGUAGUCCCUGUCUCUUAUAC